Molecule: ribosomal RNA, 459 nt
Filed under: uncultured bacterium
Lineage: Bacteria
Description: partial 16S ribosomal RNA
Rfam family: Bacterial small subunit ribosomal RNA
Source: RNAcentral
CCUACGGGAGGCAGCAGUGAGGAAUAUUGGUCAAUGGCCGGAAGGCUGAACCAGCCAAGCCGCGUGAAGGACGAAGGUGCCAAGCAUUGUAAACUUCUUUUGUCAAGGGACAAAAUCAGGCUCGAGAGCCUGACCGAGGGUACUUGAAGAAAAAGCAUCGACUAACUCCGUGCCAGCAGCCGCGGUAAUACGGAGGAUGCGAGCGUUAUCCGGAUUUAUUGGGUUAAAAGGAUGCGUAGGCGGACUGUUAAGUCAGCGGUAAAAGCCCGGGGCUCAACCCCGGCGAGCCGUUGAAACUGGCAGUCGUGAGAAGGCGAGAGGUAGGCGGAAUGCGCGGGGGAGGGGUGAAAUGCGUAGAUAUUGAGAAGAACUCUGAUUGCGAAGGCAGCAUACCGGCGGCGAUCUGACGCUGAGGCACGAAAGCGUGGGUAGCGAACAGGAUUAGAUACCCGGGUAGUC